AUUGAACGCUGGCGGAAUGCUUUACACAUGCAAGUCGAACGGUAGAGGGGGCAACCCCUCGAGAGUGGCGAACGGGUGAGUAAUAUAUCGGAACGUGCCCAGUCGUGGGGGAUAACGUAGCGAAAGUUACGCUAAUACCGCAUACGAUCUAAGGAUGAAAGCGGGGGAUCGCAAGACCUCGCGCGAUUGGAGCGGCCGAUAUCAGAUUAGGUAGUUGGUGGGGUAAAGGCUCACCAAGUAAACGAUCUGUAGCUGGUCUGAGAGGACGACCAGCCACACUGGAACUGAGACACGGUCCAGACUCCUACGGGAGGCAGCAGUGGGGAAUUUUGGACAAUGGACGCAAGUCUGAUCCAGCCAUUCCGCGUGCAGGAUGAAGGCACUCGGGUUGUAAACUGCUUCUGUACGGAACGAAAAGGUCUCUCUUAAUACGGGGGACUCAUGACGGUACCGUAAGAAUAAGCACCGGCUAACUGCGUGCCAGCCGCCGCCGUAA
RNAcentral lists this ribosomal RNA (496 nucleotides) under uncultured bacterium. RNAcentral describes it as "partial 16S ribosomal RNA". It matches the Rfam family "Bacterial small subunit ribosomal RNA", at positions 30 to 523 of the family's 1533-position model. The record is from RNAcentral.